RNAcentral lists this ribosomal RNA (658 nucleotides) under uncultured bacterium. Its description in RNAcentral is "bacterial SSU rRNA". It matches the Rfam family "Bacterial small subunit ribosomal RNA", at positions 94 to 788 of the family's 1533-position model. The record is from RNAcentral.
AGUGGCGGACGGGUGAGUAACGCGUGAGAAUCUGCCUUGGGGUCGGGGACAACCACUGGAAACGGUGGCUAAUACCGGAUAAGCCGAUUGGUGAAAGAUUUAUUGCCCGAAGAGGAGCUCGCGUCUGAUUAGCUAGUUGGUGAGGUAAGAGCUCACCAAGGCAGCGAUCAGUAGCUGGUCUGAGAGGACGAUCAGCCACACUGGGACUGAGACACGGCCCAGACUCCUACGGGAGGCAGCAGUGGGGAAUUUUCCGCAAUGGGCGAAAGCCUGACGGAGCAAGACCGCGUGAGGGAGGAAGGCUCUUGGGUUGUAAACCUCUUUUCUCAGGGAAGAAGCUCUGACGGUACCUGAGGAAUCAGCCUCGGCUAACUCCGUGCCAGCAGCCGCGGUAAUACGGAGGAGGCAAGCGUUAUCCGGAAUUAUUGGGCGUAAAGCGUCCGCAGGUGGCGAUUCAAGUCUGCUGUCAAAGCACGGGGCUUAACUCCGUAAAGGCAGUGGAAACUGAAUAGCUAGAGUGCCGUAGGGGUAGAGGGAAUUCCCGGUGUAGCGGUGAAAUGCGUAGAGAUCGGGAAGAACAUCGGUGGCGAAAGCGCUCUACUGGACGGCAACUGACACUCAGGGACGAAAGCUAGGGGAGCGUGGGAUUAGAUACCCC